CCAAAAAAAAAAAAGGGGACUAAAAUUUUGGAGAAUUCCAGAGGCGCAGAGAUGCAGAGAGAAUCCGGUUCGGCUUUGCCGCUCCGAGCAAGACUCAUCGACUUCCUCAUCCAAUCUGCUCAGCGGCUCCAACUUUCUCCGACCGAGAAGUACACCGCCUUGUCACUCUUCGCUCGUAGAUUCUACCCGCGUUUUAUGUCCCAGUUGGAACAAGGCAAUGACAUGGGGAACUGGCUCUUGCAACCCUUGAGAGAGAGCAAUUUGCAGCUAUUUGCGCUUGUUUCGCUAUGGAUUUCCAACAAAAUACACUCUUCUCCUGCAUUGUCCGUGAAGAUAUUCAAGUCCUUGGGAGACAAAUGUAUCAGUGAACAACACUUCACCAUUCGAGAUUAUUCUGAAGCGGAGCUGGUCUUAAUGCAGGUAGUGAAUUUUGAGAUUUGUGUGGAAAAUGUUGCUUUCGUAUACUUUGAAGAGCUUUUACUCCAAUUCAAGGGAGUGUCCAAGGCUGGGGAACUAGUGAACUUUGAAGCAGGCAUGGACAUCAUGGAUCUACUUUAUGAAAAGGAGGAGACAACGAUGCUCUGUGCUAAUCCUCGUUUUCUCGCUGCAUCAGUCUUGGUUGCUUCAUAUGUCAUUACAGUUCCCAAACAGAAGUUGGAAUUUCCAGUUCUUCCCUGGGUUAAGUUUGUAACCGGAUGCGAAGAAGAGGAUAUUGUAGAGAUGGUCAGAGAAAUUCUUAAGCACGUAUUCCAUCUUUCUUGCUGAAGUCUGAAGAGGGCAACUUGUCUGUGUUUGGUACAAGUGAUGGAUGGGACACAAAGAACUGUCGGGUUUAGGGCUUUAGCGUUUACAAAUUACAAGGUUGGUGAGUUCCAUUGAUUGUUGUUGGUUUGAAGAGGGGGCGUAAUGGAGAUGAAUCCGAGGCGCUUUUGCAUGGUUGUGGACUUGUGGUAGCGUCAAAAAUUUCUUUUAAUCAAGGCAGUGCAACAAAGCAGCUCAUGACCUAGCUAAGUUCAAUUUCAUUUUGAACGAAAGUGAUACUUUCUAUUAUGCAGAGUUUGGACGGAAUGGCUUAUGAUCGGACAUUGAUUGUUGUAACAUUUAUAUCAAUUAAUGAAUUAUUAUAUUUUCAAUCAAAAAACAAAGGGUAAGGACCGUAAGGCUUUAAGCUGAGGAUAGGUUGUAUCUAGUUCUUAGUCGAAGUAUAUAAAUAGUGAUACUGAAGUGAGCAAGUGAACCACGUCAAGGCUGAAGUCCAACCAAAUUUGCUUUGCCUCAUCAAUAUAGGGGCCCGUACAAGUGCUGUUGUUGGAGGUCAAGUUUGGCGAGCUAGUCUUUUAUAUUCUCAUAUACAGUUUGGUCCAGACAUGUUGAAUACUUGAACAUGUUUUUGACUAUUGUUGGUAUGGUUAUGUAUAAUAAGCACACAUACAUUUGAUUUGUUGGGAUG
RNA transcript from Rosa chinensis, 1450 nucleotides. It is a transcript of the gene named cyclin-J18, with no coding region annotated. The record is from RefSeq and is a predicted model, not a curated record. NCBI's taxonomy places the organism in Eukaryota, Viridiplantae, Streptophyta, Magnoliopsida, Rosales, Rosaceae. The transcript has 10 exons.